GAUAUUCCCUUGAAGUGGAAAUGCAGUGUGUGGGGAAUUAUGCAGAAGGCAAUUAUGUGAUGUCCUAAACCUCAACACCUGUAUAGUGAUGUAUAAACAUCAAGAAAAUACAUGAUCAAGUUCUUGCAGGAGGUUGCUGCUUACUCGUACCUGGAGAGGUCAUAUGUAGAAUCUACUUGGCAAUGCAUGUUCAAUCUACUGUGUGUAUAAAAUGAUUAAGGUAGGAACAUACUUUUCUCUUACUGGGGUUGUAUGCACUAAAGAUACUUCAAUUUAAUUUGCUGUUCCUUAUUGCUAAUGGAGAAUCCAAAAUUUACAUGUCCAAACUUUUCUUUGAGUCAAGCAAGGCCAGGACACCAAACACAUCUUUUGUAUAUUAUUUUUAAUGGUCUAACCUUGUCAUAUAACACAUUUUAUACUGUUUGACAGUCACUCUUGCUUUUGAGUUUUGAAUUUUUAUUACAUCUGUGUUCUAGCUUAAUGCUGGUUUAAUUCUUAAAGCUAAUCAAUAAUGAUGAAUUGUCAAAGUUAUCACCGCACUUGCAUGUUGAUUCACUUUAAUUGGUUGGCUUCCUUUGAUUCACUUGUAUAUAUGUAGACACACACACACACACAGCUUAUGCGAAUCCUUGCCCUACCUUGGUCUCAUCCUCAUCGCCGGCAGCUAGGGUUUUCUCAUCUACUUCCACUCCGAUCACUACCACCCUCUUCCCUGGCGAUGCUAUCAGCCCUGAGAUCAUCGAGUCUGUCAAAUAGGUCCCUCUUUGAUCCUUAUUCACUUUCUGCUCUUCAAUUUCCAUUUAUGACUGGUUUAUUUUGCAUCGGAGUUGUGUAUGAUUGUAUGUUUGUGUAUGCAUCUGUGUAUAAUUAGUUAUAUACACUCACUCGCACUCAAUGAACUUGAAUCUAGGGUUUUGAAUUUAGAUUCUUUAUUGGAUAUUAGAUUAUUUUUUCCCUGAUCGGGUAUUUUUGUUGUUUAGCAUUUUACUAUUCACAAUUUGAUUAUUUGAUUCCUUGUGAGUACCUUCUGCAAUACUAAAGCAAAUAUAAUACAGAAAACUGACAGUCUUUUUGUCAAGGUACAUCAAUUGUUAAUAUGUAUAUAUGAAAAACUGAGUUAGAAGGUUGUAUGCCUUUUCUGUUGCUGAUAGUUCUGUGUAUUAGUUGGUGAGACUCUGUUAAAUUUGCUGCGUUGUUAGCAGCUGUUGGAAGAGUAAUUGGUUCACACAAGAGAUGAGCUAUAUGAUACUUGCUUUAAUAGUGAGUACCAGGCCAAAACUCGAAGGAACUGUUGCAGAUGGAGAAGCCUCAAAUUCAGAGAGUAGACUGAUUUGGUGGUUUCGUGAUAGAUUGAAGAAGGCCUCGGGAGUUUUCUGGGAAAGAAAGAGGAAGGGUGAUCUCUUCAUUGUGAGAGUUGGAAUGAGGAGUGUCGAGUUCAAGGUUAUUGAGACUGAUUAUUCUGAGUAUUGUGUUGUAGCUCUAGACAUUGAAAUAUUUCCAAUAGGGUUUACUAAAGUGGCUACAGAUAAGAAUUCUAAAGCUGGAUCAAAUGUCUAGGCUAGCCUUUGUUAGUUUUGGGGUAUUAUUUUGUGAAUUAUGUUGA
RNA transcript from Rosa rugosa (rugosa rose), 1603 nucleotides. RefSeq lists it as uncharacterized. Lineage: Eukaryota; Viridiplantae; Streptophyta; Magnoliopsida; Rosales; Rosaceae. The transcript is spliced from 3 exons. The record is from RefSeq and is a predicted model, not a curated record.